CAAAGACAGUAUAUAGGCACAGAGGUAAAGGUUUACAGUGUCAGGAGAACACUUGAUGACUUUAACAAUGCACUUAGGAGUGAUAUUCAGUCUAGUGGUCGGUGUAGUCUGUUCUGCAGCGGUGAAUCAGAAACCAUCCAGGAACAGCAGCUGGACUGGGAAGCUGUUAGUGGUGCCCAUGGAUGGAAGUCACUGGACAGGGGUGAAGGCCGUAGCAGAAGAAAUGGGACGCAGAGGACACACUGUGAUUGUGGUGAUUCCAGAGAUCAGCAUGCGCUUGGGUCCAGGCAAACACUACAUCACUAAGAAGUUUCCGGUUAAGUGCAAGCCAGAUUUACUCAACCAGAUGAUAAUGAAACACAUUAAUGAAUUGUCAGCUCCAGAGCAAUCCCUAUUGAAGAGAGUGACUUCAAAUAUCUACAAUUUAGGAAAGAUUGUUGACUGUUUCAUCUCUACAACUGAGAGUCUGUUCCAGGAGCAGGAGCUUAUAGAGUUUCUGAGAGAUCAAAACUUUGAUGCUGUUUUAACUGAUCCUGCAAUGCCAAUGGGAGCCUUAUUGGCAUAUAACCUGUCCGUACCUGCAGUGUACAUGCUAAGAGGAUUGAUGUGUGAAUCUAAAGCUACAGCCUGUCCAGAUCCUCCCUCCUACAUCCCACGUUUCUUCACACAAAACUCAGACCACAUGAAUUUUGGUGAGCGUGUAAAACACUUGCAAGUUUGAUGGAACCGCUGAUGUGUGGAUUUAUGAUUCGUACUUUUGAGGAAGUGACGUCCAAAUUUCUGCAGAGAGAUGUGAGCAUGACUGAGAUCCUGAGCACUGGAGCUGUUUGGUUGAUGCGUUAUGAUUUUACCCUGGAGUUCCCCAAACCCCUGAUGCCCAACAUCAUUAACAUAGGAGGAAUUAACUGUGAUGUUAACAACCCACUGAUGAAGGUGAGCAUCACCAUUAUAUGCGUAAUGUAUAGUGUGUUGUGGGUAACCAAAAUGGCAAUUUCAGUGUACUGGACCAUUUAUAUUCUGCUGUACAGUGUGUCUUUUCUAAUCUACUUCACCAAGCACUGGCAUCGCAUGAAUAAAACAGCAUUUUGUUGUUAUUUUUGUGGAUCUCAUUUUAAACUCUUAGACCCUUGAAGCUCAACAUUGUGCUUUGUUUUGUUUUUCAAGAGAAGGUCACUUACUCCUAGUUUCAUUGAUCAAGGUUUAAGCCUAGUCCCACAAAAUAAUUUAAGUCUGAGCUGUUUAAAUUGAAAGAAACUUGCACUGACUAAUUUUAAAUCAAUCAGAACUUUUGUUUUGUCUUAAGAUCGUCCAGUAUUUUUCUUUGGCCAUGUUCAUUGAACCAGGCCUUAGUG
Danio rerio (zebrafish) is the source of this 1352-nucleotide RNA transcript. It is a transcript of the gene named UDP glucuronosyltransferase 1 family, pseudogene B6, with no coding region annotated. The record is from RefSeq and is marked provisional. Lineage: Eukaryota; Metazoa; Chordata; Actinopteri; Cypriniformes; Danionidae.